UACCCGCGGCCCGAGUGGUGCUCAUUAUUAUUGAGUCUAAAACGUCCGUAGCCGGUCUGGUCGAUGCCUGGGUAAAUCGAGGCGCUUAACGUUUCGAAUUCCGGGCAGACCGCCAGACUAGGGACCGGGAGAGGUUGGAGGUACUCCGGGGGUAGGGGUAAAAUCCUGUAAUCCUCGGAGGACCACCAGUGGCGAAGGCGUCCAACUAGAACGGAUCCGACGGUCAGGGACGAAGCCCAGGGGCGCAAACGGG
Molecule: ribosomal RNA, 253 nt
Filed under: uncultured bacterium
Lineage: Bacteria
Description: partial 16S ribosomal RNA
Rfam family: Archaeal small subunit ribosomal RNA
Source: RNAcentral